Molecule: ribosomal RNA, 290 nt
Filed under: uncultured bacterium
Lineage: Bacteria
Description: partial 16S ribosomal RNA
Rfam family: Bacterial small subunit ribosomal RNA
Source: RNAcentral
AUGUCCCUACGGGGCGCAGCAGUGAGGAAUAUUGGUCAAUGGGAGAGAUCCUGAACCAGCCACGCCGCGUGAGGGAAGACGGCCCUAUGGGUUGUAAACCUCUUUUGUCGGAGAACAAAACCCGGGACGUGUCCCGGACUGCGUGUAUCCGAAGAAAAAGCAUCGGCUAACUCCGUGCCAGCAGCCGCGGUAAUACGGAGGAUGCGAGCGUUAUCCGGAUUUAUUGGGUUUAAAGGGUGCGUAGGCGGUCCGGAAAGUCAUCGGUAAAAGCCCGGGGCUCAACCCCGGGG